Molecule: ribosomal RNA, 470 nt
Filed under: uncultured Arcobacter sp.
Lineage: Bacteria; Pseudomonadati; Campylobacterota; Epsilonproteobacteria; Campylobacterales; Arcobacteraceae
Description: bacterial SSU rRNA
Rfam family: Bacterial small subunit ribosomal RNA
Source: RNAcentral
GACGGGACCCGCACAAGCGUGGAGCAUGUGGUUUAAUUCGACGAUAUGCGAAGAACCUUACCUGGCCUUGACAUACUAAAAAGCUUUAAGAGAUUAGAGUGUGCUAGCUUGCUAGAAUUUAGAUACAGGUGCUGCACGGCUGUCGUCAGCUCGUGUCGUGAGAUGUUGGGUUAAGUCCCGCAACGAGCGCAACCUCGUGUUUAGUUGCUAACAGUUCGGCUGAGAACUCUAAACAGACUGCCUACGCAAGUAGGAGGAAGGUGAGGACGACGUCAAGUCAUCAUGGCCCUUACGGCCAGGGCUACACACGUGCUACAAUGGGGUAUACAAAGAGCAGCGAUACGGUGACGUGGAGCAAAUCUAGAAAAUGCCUCUCAGUUCGGAUUGUAGUCUGCAACUCGACUACAUGAAGUUGGAAUCGCUAGUAAUCGUAGAUCAGCAAUGCUACGGUGAAUACGUUCCCGGGUCUU